GGGCUCGUAGCUCAGUUCGGCUAGAGCGUUCCGUUCGCAACGGGGAGGCCGCGGGUUCAAAUCCCGCCGAGUCCA
RNAcentral lists this transfer RNA (75 nucleotides) under Nanobdellota archaeon. RNAcentral describes it as "tRNA-Ala". It matches the Rfam family "tRNA". From Rfam's summary of the family: Transfer RNA (tRNA) molecules are approximately 80 nucleotides in length. Lineage: Archaea; Nanobdellati; Nanobdellota. RNAcentral also lists the same sequence under 1 other name. The record is from RNAcentral.